RNAcentral lists this ribosomal RNA (253 nucleotides) under uncultured bacterium. Its description in RNAcentral is "partial 16S ribosomal RNA". It matches the Rfam family "Bacterial small subunit ribosomal RNA", at positions 524 to 776 of the family's 1533-position model. The record is from RNAcentral.
UACGUAGGGUGCAAGCGUUGUCCGGAAUUAUUGGGCGUAAAGAGCUCGUAGGCGGUCUGUCGCGUCGGCUGUGAAAUCCCGAGGCUCAACCUCGGGUCUGCAGUCGAUACGGGCAAACUAGAGUAUUGCAGGGGAGACUGGAAUUCCUGGUGUAGCGGUGAAAUGCGCAGAUAUCAGGAGGAACACCGGUGGCGAAGGCGGGUCUCUGGGCAAUAACUGACGCUGAGGAGCGAAGGCGUGGGGAGCGAACAGG